GGGUUGUGAGGUUAAGCGACUAAGCGUACACGGUGGAUGCCCUGGCAGUCAGAGGCGAUGAAGGACGUGCUAAUCUGCGAUAAGCGCCGGUAAGGUGAUAUGAACCGUUAUAACCGGCGAUUUCCGAAUGGGGAAACCCAGUGUGAUUCGUCACACUAUCAUUAACUGAAUCCAUAGGUUAAUGAGGCGAACCGGGGGAACUGAAACAUCUAAGUACCCCGAGGAAAAGAAAUCAACCGAGAUUCCCCCAGUAGCGGCGAGCGAACGGGGAGGAGCCCAGAGCCUGAAUCAGCAUGUGUGUUAGUGGAAGCGUCUGGAAAGGCGCGCGAUACAGGGUGACAGCCCCGUACACAAAAGCGCAUGUGCUGUGAGCUCGAUGAGUAGGGCGGGACACGUGGUAUCCUGUCUGAAUAUGGGGGGACCAUCCUCCAAGGCUAAAUACUCCUGACUGACCGAUAGUGAACCAGUACCGUGAGGGAAAGGCGAAAAGAACCCCGGCGAGGGGAGUGAAAAAGAACCUGAAACCGUGUACGUACAAGCAGUGGGAGCACAGGUUUACCUGUGUGACUGCGUACCUUUUGUAUAAUGGGUCAGCGACUUAUAUUCUGUAGCAAGGUUAACCGUAUAGGGGAGCCGUAGGGAAACCGAGUCUUAACCGGGCGUUAAGUUGCAGGGUAUAGACCCGAAACCCGGUGAUCUAGCCAUGGGCAGGUUGAAGGUUGGGUAACACUAACUGGAGGACCGAACCGACUAAUGUUGAAAAAUUAGCGGAUGACCUGUGGCUGGGGGUGAAAGGCCAAUCAAACCGGGAGAUAGCUGGUUCUCCCCGAAAGCUAUUUAGGUAGCGCCUCGUGAAUUCAUCUCCGGGGGUAGAGCACUGUUUCGGCUAGGGGGCCAUCCCGGCUUACCAACCCGAUGCAAACUGCGAAUACCGGAGAAUGUUAUCACGGGAGACACACGGCGGGUGCUAACGUCCGUCGUGAAGAGGGAAACAACCCAGACCGCCAGCUAAGGUCCCAAAGUCAUGGUUAAGUGGGAAACGAUGUGGGAAGGCCCAGACAGCCAGGAUGUUGGCUUAGAAGCAGCCAUCAUUUAAAGAAAGCGUAAUAGCUCACUGGUCGAGUCGGCCUGCGCGGAAGAUGUAACGGGGCUAAACCAUGCACCGAAGCUGCGGCAGCGAACGUAUCACCCAAGACAACUUUACGGAGUUGACGAUUGACGGAGCGAAGCGACGUCAAAGCGUUCAUUAAAGUCGAGUUGGCUUAGGGAUACGUUCGUUGGGUAGGGGAGCGUUCUGUAAGCCUGUGAAGGUGUGUCGUGAGGCAUGCUGGAGGUAUCAGAAGUGCGAAUGCUGACAUAAGUAACGAUAAAGCGGGUGAAAAGCCCGCUCGCCGGAAGACCAAGGGUUCCUGUCCAACGUUAAUCGGGGCAGGGUGAGUCGACCCCUAAGGCGAGGCCGAAAGGCGUAGUCGAUGGGAAACGGGUUAAUAUUCCCGUACUUGGUGUUACUGCGAAGGGGGGACGGAGAAGGCUAUGUUGGCCGGGCGACGGUUGUCCCGGUUUAAGCGUGUAGGUGUGUGUUCCAGGUAAAUCCGGUUCACUUUAACACUGAGGCGUGACGACGAGGCACUACGGUGCUGAAGCAACAAAUGCCCUGCUUCCAGGAAAAGCCUCUAAGCAUCAGGUAACAUCAAAUCGUACCCCAAACCGACACAGGUGGUCAGGUAGAGAAUACCAAGGCGCUUGAGAGAACUCGGGUGAAGGAACUAGGCAAAAUGGUGCCGUAACUUCGGGAGAAGGCACGCUGACACGUAGGUGAAGUGAUUUACUCAUGGAGCUGAAGUCAGUCGAAGAUACCAGCUGGCUGCAACUGUUUAUUAAAAACACAGCACUGUGCAAACACGAAAGUGGACGUAUACGGUGUGACGCCUGCCCGGUGCCGGAAGGUUAAUUGAUGGGGUCAGCGCAAGCGAAGCUCCUGAUCGAAGCCCCGGUAAACGGCGGCCGUAACUAUAACGGUCCUAAGGUAGCGAAAUUCCUUGUCGGGUAAGUUCCGACCUGCACGAAUGGCGUAAUGAUGGCCAGGCUGUCUCCACCCGAGACUCAGUGAAAUUGAACUCGCUGUGAAGAUGCAGUGUACCCGCGGCAAGACGGAAAGACCCCGUGAACCUUUACUAUAGCUUGACACUGAACAUUGAGCCUUGAUGUGUAGGAUAGGUGGGAGGCUUUGAAGUGUGGACGCCAGUCUGCAUGGAGCCGACCUUGAAAUACCACCCUUUAAUGUUUGAUGUUCUAACGUGGACCCGUAAUCCGGGUUGCGGACAGUGUCUGGUGGGUAGUUUGACUGGGGCGGUCUCCUCCUAAAGAGUAACGGAGGAGCACGAAGGUUGGCUAAUCCUGGUCGGACAUCAGGAGGUUAGUGCAAUGGCAUAAGCCAGCUUGACUGCGAGCGUGACGGCGCGAGCAGGUGCGAAAGCAGGUCAUAGUGAUCCGGUGGUUCUGAAUGGAAGGGCCAUCGCUCAACGGAUAAAAGGUACUCCGGGGAUAACAGGCUGAUACCGCCCAAGAGUUCAUAUCGACGGCGGUGUUUGGCACCUCGAUGUCGGCUCAUCACAUCCUGGGGCUGAAGUAGGUCCCAAGGGUAUGGCUGUUCGCCAUUUAAAGUGGUACGCGAGCUGGGUUUAGAACGUCGUGAGACAGUUCGGUCCCUAUCUGCCGUGGGCGCUGGAGAACUGAGGGGGGCUGCUCCUAGUACGAGAGGACCGGAGUGGACGCAUCACUGGUGUUCGGGUUGUCAUGCCAAUGGCACUGCCCGGUAGCUAAAUGCGGAAGAGAUAAGUGCUGAAAGCAUCUAAGCACGAAACUUGCCCCGAGAUGAGUUCUCCCUGAGACUUAGAGUCUCCUGAAGGAACGUUGAAGACGACGACGUUGAUAGGCCGGGUGUGUAAGCGCA
This 2953-nucleotide ribosomal RNA is filed under the name Salmonella enterica subsp. enterica serovar Typhimurium. Its description in RNAcentral is "partial 23S ribosomal RNA". It matches the Rfam family "Bacterial large subunit ribosomal RNA". Lineage: Bacteria; Pseudomonadati; Pseudomonadota; Gammaproteobacteria; Enterobacterales; Enterobacteriaceae. The record is from RNAcentral.